Molecule: ribosomal RNA, 327 nt
Filed under: uncultured eukaryote
Lineage: Eukaryota
Description: partial 18S ribosomal RNA
Rfam family: Eukaryotic small subunit ribosomal RNA
Source: RNAcentral
CCCUUAGAUGUUCUGGGCCGCACGCGCGCUACACUGAUGAAUGCAACGAGCUCUACCCUUGACCGAAAGGCCCGGGUAAACUUGUGAAACUUCAUCGUGAUGGGGAUAGAUUAUUGCAAUUAUUAAUCUUCAACGAGGAAUUCCUAGUAAGCGCGAGUCAUCAGCUCGCGUUGAUUACGUCCCUGCCCUUUGUACACACCGCCCGUCGCUCCUACCGAUUGAAUGGUCCGGUGAAAUCUUCGGAUUGCUGACCAAGAUCCAGCAAUGGAGCUUGGUUGCGAGAAGUUGAUUAAACCUUAUUAUUUAGAGGAAGGAGAAGUCGCAACA